RNAcentral lists this ribosomal RNA (424 nucleotides) under uncultured bacterium. Its description in RNAcentral is "partial 16S ribosomal RNA". It matches the Rfam family "Bacterial small subunit ribosomal RNA", at positions 355 to 796 of the family's 1533-position model. The record is from RNAcentral.
GUGGGAAUCUUAGACAAUGGGGGCAACCCUGAUCUAGCCAUGCCGCGUGAGUGAUGAAGGCCUUAGGGUUGUAAAGCUCUUUCAGUGGGGAAGAUAAUGACGGUACCCACAGAAGAAGCCCCGGCUAACUCCGUGCCAGCAGCCGCGGUAAUACGGAGGGGGCUAGCGUUGUUCGGAAUUACUGGGCGUAAAGCGCACGUAGGCGGAUCGGAAAGUUGGGGGUGAAAUCCCAGGGCUCAACCCUGGAACUGCCUUCAAAACUAUCGGUCUGGAGUCCGAGAGAGGUGAGUGGAAUUCCGAGUGUAGAGGUGAAAUUCGUAGAUAUUCGGAGGAACACCAGUGGCGAAGGCGGCUCACUGGCUCGGUACUGACGCUGAGGUGCGAAAGCGUGGGGAGCAAACAGGAUUAGAAACCCCUGUAGUCC